AUUGAACGCUGGCGGCAUGCCUUACACAUGCAAGUCGAACGGUAACAGGUCUUCGGAUGCUGACGAGUGGCGAACGGGUGAGUAAUACAUCGGAACGUGCCUAGUAGUGGGGGAUAACUACUCGAAAGAGUGGCUAAUACCGCAUGAGAUCUACGGAUGAAAGCAGGGGAUCGCAAGACCUUGUGCUACUAGAGCGGCCGAUGGCAGAUUAGGUAGUUGGUGGGAUAAAAGCUUACCAAGCCGACGAUCUGUAGCUGGUCUGAGAGGACGAUCAGCGACGCUGGGACUGAGACACGGCCCAGACUCAUACGGGAGGCAGUAGUGGGGAAUUUUGGACAAUGGGCGAAAGCCUGAUCCAGCAAUGCCGCGUGCAGGAUGAAGGCCUUCGGGUUGUAAACUGCCUUUGUACGGAACGAAAAGCCCCGGGUUAAUACCCUGGGGUCAUGACGGUACCGUAAGAAUAAGCACCGGCUAACUACGUGCCAGCCGCCGCAGUAA
This 498-nucleotide ribosomal RNA is filed under the name uncultured bacterium. RNAcentral's name for it is "partial 16S ribosomal RNA". It matches the Rfam family "Bacterial small subunit ribosomal RNA", at positions 30 to 523 of the family's 1533-position model. The record is from RNAcentral.